GUGAAUCAUCAAAUCUUUGAACGCAAAUUGCACUCUCCUCGGAGAGUAUGCCUGUUUGAGGGUCAGCCUAUAAAAAAUCGACAUCGUUGCUGUUUCAGGGUGAUGUUGGUCGGAAAUUGGGUCAUCUUAUAUCUUUUGGGUUUAAGCGACUUAAAUUUUUCUUUUUGGUUCCAUGAACGUUUCUAAGAUUUAUUUCUUUACAUGUUUAAGUUAUCGAUUUUUAUUAGACGUGACCAUCAUAUCGGUUCUCUUCCUUACACUUUCAUUAAAUGA
Molecule: unclassified non-coding RNA, 273 nt
Filed under: Glomeraceae sp.
Lineage: Eukaryota; Fungi; Glomeromycota; Glomeromycetes; Glomerales; Glomeraceae
Description: partial contains 5.8S ribosomal RNA and internal transcribed spacer 2
Rfam family: 5.8S ribosomal RNA (bases 1-65)
Source: RNAcentral